RNAcentral lists this ribosomal RNA (243 nucleotides) under uncultured Lactobacillus sp. RNAcentral describes it as "partial 16S ribosomal RNA". It matches the Rfam family "Bacterial small subunit ribosomal RNA", at positions 118 to 354 of the family's 1533-position model. The record is from RNAcentral. Lineage: Bacteria; Bacillati; Bacillota; Bacilli; Lactobacillales; Lactobacillaceae.
UGGGUAACCUGCCCAAGAGAUCGGGAUAACACCUGGAAACAGAUGCUAAUACCGGAUAACAACAGAUGAUGCCAUCAACUGUUUAAAAGAUGGUUCUGCUAUCACUCUUGGAUGGACCUGCGGUGCAUUAGCUAGUUGGUAGGGUAACGGCCUACCAAGGCGAUGAUGCAUAGCCGAGUUGAGAGACUGAUCGGCCACAUUGGGACUGAGACACGGCCCAAACUCCUACGGGAGGCAGCAGGC